UUUAUUUAGACAACUUGUUUUUUUCAACAAUUCCACACUUGUCGUAAAAAAGGCAUUUUGUUGUACGUUGACAACUUAUUGUAGAUAAAUUAUGACACUGCGUAGUUAGGUAUUCAAAAUUUCGAUAUGGCCACGAGCGCAUAGAUAAAGUAUUUGUAUUUAAAACCUGGUUACCACUAUUGCGGCUCCCAGUGCAUGCUAACGAGUUGAAGAGGCAUAGAAAUUAUUGUACAAAAUGAAAAAAAAUUGUCUUUUUAUCGUGAUUCUCAUACUCACUCUUCUGGCCAUUUUUACUUCAGCUGAUAAUAAUAGUUAUGAUGUGCCGCAUUCACGCGUACGUCGCACGAGCUGUUUCCUCGGUAAUUUUGGUUGUGCAGUUCAUUGCAUCGUUCGAGGAUUUUGGUACGGCGGACAAUGCUCUGAAGAUCUUUGCUACUGCAAUUCAUAAUACUAACUAGAAAAUAAUUAAUUUUCCGCGCAAUAAUAGUGCAUUCGUGAAUUUAUGACGGCUGUAAUAAAUAUCAGAUAAAGGAAAUAAUGAAAUUA
Molecule: long non-coding RNA, 546 nt
Organism: Fopius arisanus
Lineage: Eukaryota; Metazoa; Arthropoda; Insecta; Hymenoptera; Braconidae
Exons: 2
Source: RefSeq, a predicted model, not a curated record